Lepidothrix coronata (blue-crowned manakin) is the source of this 450-nucleotide long non-coding RNA. RefSeq lists it as uncharacterized. The record is from RefSeq and is a predicted model, not a curated record. The transcript is spliced from 3 exons. Lineage: Eukaryota; Metazoa; Chordata; Aves; Passeriformes; Pipridae.
AAGCCACUGUUACAUAUGAUGGGGUGCUGCUCUCCUGGAGAUGGUUGAACACCUGAUUGCCUAUAGGCAGACAUUUAUUGUUUCUCUGCGAUGCUGAAGAAAGACCAUGUAUAGCAGUAAAUACAAUUCAGAAGGAAGAGAGAGAAGACAAAUAGGAGAUACGAUCCCGAAAGCUAUCAGUAAGGAGUGUUUCUCGAUCUCCACUUAAAACAAGGCCUACAAAGCUGCAAGUGUUCAUGCACAGUCUCAUUAGAGGACUGUACUCUUGGCCUUCUAGCACAGAGCUGUGAGUGAACUUCAAAUAUAACAGUGCAUCAAUCAGAUCCAAGGUAGGCUUUUAAUGUCAUUUUUUCUACUUUGCCUUUAAAGUCCUUUAAAGGAGUGCCCUUUCCACUGUGCAACCAAUGAUCAUUCAACAGCACUAAACAAACUAACAAAAAGCCUCUCAGG